UGAGGCCUCUGCGCCAGCAGCCCCCCACGCGGACGCGGACGCGAACCCGCGCUCUGUCUCCCGAAGCGAAGCUCAGAGGAUGACUCAGGUUCUCCCCUCCAACAGUUUCCUGUGACAUUCAUCCAGGCUCUCUGUCUACCAAGAAGAGCAAGUCUCACAGGUAUGGAUCUCUGGCGGGUGUUCUUAACCUUGGCACUGGCGGUCUCCAUCGACGCAUUUUCUGGAAAUGGGGGUGACUUUCAGUCCACGGGGCAAGGCUUGAGGAAUUUUAAAGUCUGUGAAGUGAAAAGUACAGCAUAAGAAUCUUUAAAAAGGCUGAAGAAGGCAUCCCAGACUAAGACAUUAGAGCUCAAAUUAUAUUUCAACCUAGAGAAUUUCCAGGACCUAUUCAAAAGCUUAAAUAUUUGAACAACCUUCAACUUCAUAAAGAGGGGAGGUCACAAAAAGUUAAUGACUUAUUUCAAAUGAAUUAAAUUGUAUAUAUUUAUGGUAUACAGAAGGAAAUGUGGUGACCUAGUUUGGGCCUAUACGCGUGUGUGUGUGUGUGUGUGUGUGUGUGUGUGUGUGUGUACAUAAUUACCCAUUUUCUCUGUGGCAAAAGAAGUCAUCUUCUACUUGUAUAACAGAAAUCCUGAAGAUAAUACUCUGUCUUUAACUAUAGUCCUCUUGGUGUCCAUUAAAUCACUAUACUUGUUAAUACUACAUAUUUGUCACUUUGUACCCUACGAAUGACAGUCUGUCAUGCCUUUCCCCUACCUGGAUCUGGUAAACACUGUUCUCUGUAUACAUUUGGUUUUGCUUUUUAAAAUUGUACAUUAAUGCAGUUGUGUUUGUUCUUCUUUCUAGAGCUGACCUAUUUUUACAUAGACUGAUGUCCUUUAGGUCCACUCAUACUGUGGCAAGAUCUUCAGUCUUAACCUGUCCUGUUUCCUGUCUUGACCAUUGUGAAUAAUGCUGCAGUGAAUAUAAGAAUAAAGUCCCUUACACCAACUGGGGAUUUCAGCAGCUAGUUCCAAAAACAGCUUAGUAAUUUUCUUUUUAAUAAUUUGUGUUGGC
This 1056-nucleotide long non-coding RNA is filed under the name Cricetulus griseus (Chinese hamster). RNAcentral's name for it is "lncRNA (ENSCGRG00000026236.1)". Lineage: Eukaryota; Metazoa; Chordata; Mammalia; Rodentia; Cricetidae. The record is from RNAcentral.